RNAcentral lists this unclassified non-coding RNA (3659 nucleotides) under Leishmania donovani. RNAcentral's name for it is "gene:LdHU3.32.4180(CDS-product:Serine_hydrolase_( FSH1)/50S_ribosome-binding_GTPase/GTPase_of_unknown_functio n_C-inal_putative)". The record is from RNAcentral. Lineage: Eukaryota; Euglenozoa; Kinetoplastea; Trypanosomatida; Trypanosomatidae.
UGUUGUAGGGACUCGCUCCGCUGCCCCUUCCCCCCACCCUUCCUUGCGUUGAUGCCUGUGCGAGUGCUAUGCCUGCACGGCGCUCAGCAGACGCAGGAGAUCUUCCAGCAUCAGCUGAGCCUCUUCCAGGAUGACCUCGCCCGCAUUGCAGAGCUUGUGUUUCUAGAGGCGCCGCAUGUGCUACCUCUCAUCACAGCGCAAGAUGACAUACCCACGCGAUCGUGGUGCAGCGCGGACGGCAGGGAGGACUACAGCGCUGGGGAUGCGUUGGUUGCGACAGCGAUGCAGCCCGCCGGCCCAGGCACUGAUCUUGCCUUCACCGUCAUGCUUGGUUUCUCGCAGGGCGCUUUGAUGAUUUAUCGAUACCUGUGGCUGCACGCGGCGGACGCCGCGGUGGCUGCGCAGCUGCACGGUGUCGUCGUAGCCGGCGCGCCAGACCCACGCCGCAUGUUCCCGCGCAACGCAGACAACACACUCUUUCAGUCCGCCUCUGACAGCCCUGCAAGCUCCGCCGCCGGGGUCACGGUUUUUGGUGCACUGCCCUUUCUUCACAUCAUUGGUAAGAAGGACGCCGUUGUGGCGCCGGAGGAGAGCGCCACCUUCGCGCAGGUGUGCAGCAGCGCUUCUCACAUUCUCUUCCACGAGCACGCGCACAGUAUUCCUGCGCUUAAAGAAGUGCGCACGGCGGUGCGAGAGGUGUGCCAGACGGCCUUGCUGAGCUCAGCCAAGUUUGCAGAGACGCUCGAGGCCCGCGCGGGGGAGCUGGAGAUGGUCCGCUCCAUGUACGAGGAGGAAUGUAUUCUGACCUGCGGCAACGAGACACUCGUGCGCAUUCCGCUCUUCACGGAUGCGGAGUCUCUGCUGGCAUCCUCUUCUUCACCCGCGGCAGCGUCGCUAAAGGCGUCUGCGGUGCACGCGCUAGAGCGCGUCAAGGUUUGCUUCCGCGUGCCCUGGAGCUACCCGUCAACGCUGCCGAUGGUGGAGAUGGCUGACGGUCCAACCUGGCACUCGAUCAAGUACGAGCGCUGGGCAGCAGACAUCGUAGUGCGCACCUCGGCCUACCUCGCCGACGAGCUCGGUGGCGAGACGGCUAUGCUGCUCCCAGCCUACCUCUACGCCGCUGGGCUGGCGCAAGAGAAGUUGGACGUCCUCGUUGAUGUCUUCGCCGAGGAGGCGUGUGGCCGCGGCGGGGCUGACGGAGAAGCUGCAGUGUCGCAGCUGGGUGGCCCAUGGGCGGCCGAGGACGAGUUGCUCCGGGAAGCGUACAUCGCGGAGGCGGAGGCAAACGCUGCCGAACUGCUCUUGGCUGAGGCGAGGCGCCCCCGCAAUGGCCGCCGUCCAACCGCAGACGUCGGCGAAGAUGACGACGGGGAAUUCGACAGCGAGGAGGCCAGGUCUGCGGCCGCUGGCGGUGGUGGCGGCACCUGCACACUGACAAUUGGCCUGAUCGGCAAGCCUAGCGCUGGCAAGAGCACCUUCUUCAACGCAGUCACGAACCCGGCUGUCGAGAGCGACGCGGCACGUGUCGCGGCUUUUCCCUUCACCACUAUCGAACCGAACAUCGGCGCUGGUCUGGCACCUCUGUACUGCCCGUGUGCAACGCUGCGCGCGGCAGCGGUGGCGCCUGCUGGUGACGGUGCUACUGACGUGGCUGCGACCGCCGGCAGUGCGAGGUUGUCUAGCGCCGUCCUUUCCUCCGGCCUUGCUGGUGACUUGUGCGAUGCAAAGUACGGCCACGUGCGUGCGCUAGGCAGCCACCACUUUCGCCGACACCCGGUGAGAGUGAAGGAUGUGGCCGGGCUUGUGCAGGGCGCCUACCAAGGCAAGGGCAAAGGAAACCAGUUCUUGAAUGACCUGUGCGACGCUGACGUGCUGGUGCACGUGGUGGACGGCGCGGCUGCAACGGAGGCGGACGGCACGGCGUGCGCGCCCGGUCAGGGCUCCACGAUGGAGGACAUCACAUGGGUGCGCUCGGAGGUGCACAGCUGGAUCUACGACAACCUUCGCGCCAAAUGGACGAGCCUUGUGCGGCAGCCGACGAAACUGCGCACCAUGUUCAGCGGCUACCGGAGUACUCCGACCUUCGUGGACCGCGUGCUGCGGCGCGUCGGCAUUGCCAACGAAAUCGCUCUGACAACCAUGCUACGCACAUGGGGGCCACAAGAGCUGCACGCGCUCGUGGCGCUCUACGUUCGUCUUCGCUUUCCAAUGAUCGUGGCUCUGAACAAGGCAGACCUCUCCACUGCUGCUGAUGUGGCAGCGGCGUUGCGCCAGGCCUACCCACACGAGGUGUUUGUCCCCAUGACGGCGAGGAUAGAGUGGCUGGCGCUUCAACUGAGCCGCAACGGUUACGUUGACUACACCCCUGGUGCGGCAUCGCUGAGUAUCAAAGUUGACUGCAGCGAAGUUGCCAACCUGGAGAAGCGCGUGUGUCAGGAGUUGCACGAUGUCGCCUCCUUCUUCCGCACCGCCACUCCCUCACCGGAGCGUUUGUCGUCGUCGUUGCUGCCGCUGACCACCACUGGUGUACAAGAUGUGCUGGCCGCGGCGAUGGAGGCGUGCGGGGUGAUGCUUGUGUACCCUGUCCGCGCCUUUCACCCCGUCACCUCGCUCGCCCACUGUCUCACCUUCAAGCUGGGCAGCUCUGCGGAACGGGUGUUCAACGCGCUUGUGCAUCUGCAGCUGCUGGAGGGAAAGCUGGUACGCUUUGAGAUGAUCGAUCUCGCACCUGUGAAGCGGCAGCUGCACCAGCAGCUUUUGGCGUCUCUGGCCACCGCCCCAUCGAGUGAGGCGUCAAUGCCGAUGCCAGCGCAGCAGCAGCAGUGCGCCGUGGCACUACCAACGAGCGCGCAGACGCUACGCAAGACGGAGGUGAUCAGCUCUUCUGCGGUGCUGGCGCGCAUUCUCUCCAACAAGCGCCAGCUUGCCUAGCCGAAGGGGAGCGCUGGGAGAGGGGUACCGGCUCACCUCUCUGAGAUGCAGUUCUACAAACACGCGUUGUCUAAUGCACCUGGCAGCUGCAUUUAGCCGCGGACAAGUGCUUCUUGGGGACUUGGGCGGCGGUGUGCGCUUUCUCUGAGGCACGCCACCUCCCACCUCUUCAACUACACUCAGUAAGCCACGUUCCCUCCCCCUCGCUGUCUCUCUCUCUUUCGCUUCCAUGUGCUCAUAAUUGCACGACUCUAUCGAGCAACGACAAAUGCCGAUCACGCGUACAUACUAAAGAAAACAAGCAUAUAGGGCUUGGCAUGUGCUGCAUGCUGACACUCGCUUGCACACAUGUGCACGGACUCCUCCCUUUCGCACUGCCCGUAUGCGGCGUCUCUUGUGGAGUCUUUCCCCUCUUUCUGCUCACUCAAGCUAUGUGGCCUGCACAGCACGAGGCAAAGCGGUGCGGGGAGGUAGGUGGGCAGGAAGGCUAGGGCUACGGAGAUCUUCGAACGCCGCCUUGUGAAUGUCUGUGUGCGCAUGCGCAUGUCGGUCCGCUUUCCUCCCUCCCCCGCCCAGGCCAUGCGAUUUCCUUUCCCACUGUCGCGUCCCUCUUCUCUCCACUUCUUCAACGCACCGCACCCUGCCCUUUCGUCCUCUCUUUCUCUAUCCGCGAGCUCUACACUGUCGUGCGCUGCGUACGAUGUGCCUGCGGGUGGCUGGUGUACUAG